Oncorhynchus keta (chum salmon) is the source of this 326-nucleotide long non-coding RNA. RefSeq lists it as uncharacterized. Lineage: Eukaryota; Metazoa; Chordata; Actinopteri; Salmoniformes; Salmonidae. The transcript is spliced from 2 exons. The record is from RefSeq and is a predicted model, not a curated record.
ACUGCUCCUACAUGGUGUAACAUCAUGUAGAUGUAUAUAAUGAACAGACUAGGUCUAUACUGCUCCUACAUGGUGUAACAAUACAUCAUGUAUAUAAUGAACAGACUAGGUCUAUACUGCUCCUACAUGGUGUAACAAUACAUCAUGUAGAUGUAUAUAAUGAACAGACUAGGUCUAUACUGCUCCUACAUGGUGUAACAAUACAUCAUGUAUAUAAUGAACAGACUAGGUCUAUACUGCUCCUACAUGGUGUAACAAUACAUCAUGUAUAUAAUGAACAGACUAGGUCUAUACUGCUCCUACAUGGUGUAACAAUACAUCAUGUA